Molecule: ribosomal RNA, 428 nt
Filed under: uncultured bacterium
Lineage: Bacteria
Description: partial 16S ribosomal RNA
Rfam family: Bacterial small subunit ribosomal RNA
Source: RNAcentral
GUGGGGAAUAUUGGGCAAUGGGCGCAAGCCUGACCCAGCAACGCCGCGUGAGGGAAGAAGGCUUUCGGGUUGUAAACCUCUGUCCUUGGUGACGAAACAAAUGACGGUAGCCAAGGAGGAAGCCCCGGCUAACUACGUGCCAGCAGCCGCGGUAAUACGUAGGGGGCGAGCGUUGUCCGGAAUUACUGGGCGUAAAGGGUGCGUAGGUGGCCUUUUAAGUUGGAUGUGAAAUACCCGGGCUUAACUUGGGGGGUGCAUCCAAAACUGGGAGGCUAGAGUGCAGGAGAGGAAAGCGGAAUUCCUAGUGUAGCGGUGAAAUGCGUAGAUAUUAGGAGGAACACCAGUGGCGAAGGCGGCUUACUGGACUGUAACUGACGUUGAGGCUCGAAAGCGUGGGGAGCAAACAGGAUUAGAUACCCUAGUAGUCC